GCUGCGGAGAUGAUGAGGGUUGCUAUUUGGUGUCUGCAAAGUGAUCACACCAGGAGGCCUAGCAUGUCAACCGUGGUUAAGGUCUUAGAGGGCACCAUGGGUGUUGAAGCAGACCUAGACUAUUGCCUUCAGAAUGCAACAACAAUGGCAGCAAUAAGAAGAGAGGCAGUGCUGGGCAGUACUACCACAUUUCUGCCAUCACUACUAUCAGGACCAAGGUGAAGAAAGAUCUUUUGCGAAAUAUAUGUGGUGUUUAUGUUUCUCUGAUAGGUGUUUUACCUUCAGUUCUCUUUAUAUCGCUAGUGUAAUGUUAUCUGGGAAAUUGUUCAAUUAGCAUAAAGUGUGAUUCUUUAAAGCCAAGACAUGCAAUCAGUUUUCAGUUGAGUUUUUGAGGUAAAGAAUUACUUUUAUAGCCAACAAAGAGCCAAAUAUACAUGAUUCCGGUGAACAUAUUACUAUCAAUGUCAUAACCUAAUUUUUGACCCUUUUAUUUUAAUUUUAUUUACUGAAAAUGAUAAAAAGAAAAAUGAUGAAAAAAAUAAUAAUAAUGAUGAUGAAAAAAAAUAAUACAAAUGAAAUAAACGAAGAACGAAUUAAAAUUUGGGUUAAGGGCAACAUGAUUGGAAGUUUAAAGAUAUAAUUAAAUUUUUUGACUUGUUUAAUUAAUCAAAUCAACGGUUUAAUUGAAGAAUUGAUAAAUUUUAAAACUUAAUUAAGAUUGAAAUUAAUUUAAUUAAUCAAAUUAAGGGUUUAAUUGAAGAAUUGAUCAGUUUUGAGACUUAAUUAAGCUUGAAAUUGAUUUAAUUCAUCCAAUCAAGAGUUUAAUUGGAGAAUUGAUGAGUUUUGAGACUUAAUUAAGCCUAGAAUUAAUUUAAUUAAUCCAAUCAGGGGCUUAAUUGAAGAAUUGGUAAGUUUUAGACUUAAUUGGACUUUGGAUUUAAUUAAAUUAAUGAAAUCAGGGACUUAAUUGAAGAAAUAACAAAGUUUGGGGUUAAUUGGGGGCACAAUUACAACAGAUUAAAGUCCAAGGACUAACUUGUAAAAGGAGCCGAAAUGCAGGGAAAAUUACAGUUUAAACCAGGGGCUUAAUUAUAGCAGUUUCGAUACUUCACGGGUCAAAACAAAAAUGGCCACCUCAUAUUCCAAAACGGCGUCGUUUGAAAAAGCGUUGUUCAUCUUCUUCGCAGGAGCCGUUGCUGGAGUAAAGGGUGGAAGCCGUUUCAAAUGCUUGGCAUUCUCUGGCUAUAAAGCCAGAGAAGAUGAGAGAGCGCAGGGAGAAAAAAAAAAGGGCAGAACUGAGGGGCUGAGGGGGAGAGAGAGAAAACAGAGCCACGAAUGGCAGAAAAUGAGGAAUCACAGAACUGGGGGAGACAAAUGGAGAGAAACCGAACAAGGGAAAAUUUUGGUCCAUCAACCAACAGCAGCUCGUGCUUUCACCACCAUUGUCUCCGUCUUGAAUGGAGAAGAUCGGACAAAGAACUAGAAAAGGGAACAAAGCGGAGGAGAGGAAGUAACACUGGGAACACCACAAGACGCGAGAACAGAGAUAAUACAGAGAAGACAAGCAAAAACAGAGGAGGCCAUGAACGAGCAGAAAACAGAGGAACACAGAAAAAAGCAGAAAAGGCGGUGGGCACGGUAGCAAAGGAAAGCAGAAGGCAAGGUCAGACGCAAACGGGAGGCACCACCGCGAUGCAACCAUCUUCGUCGUCUCCAAAAGCAAGUACACCCAUUCUAGUUUUAUUCUCUGUGUUCAAUAAAACAUUGAACACAGUGUGAAGGUAAUUUAAUUACCUUCACACUGUGUGCAUCAUGCCCAGCAGGGUCACUGGCUCGAGCCAGUGACCGGGCUGGGCUGGCUGGAUCUAGCCCAUCCCAUGUGGGUUGAGCUGGGCCCAGCCCAAAAAAAUAAAGAAUAAAAAAAUAAAAAAACAGAAAAAUAAAAAAAGUAGAAAAAAUAAAAAAUGUGCAUGCAUGAAUAAAAAUAAUAUAAAUUUAUUGGUUUAUUCACUAACGCUAGAGUUAGGAAUAAAAAUACCGGUUUAAAUUUAUAUUAUUUUUAUUCCUUGUAUUUUAUUUUAUUUAGCUAGAAAAAAAAAAUAUGUGCAUGCGUAAAAAUAAAUUUAUUUUUGUUUAUUUAUUCACUGGCGCUAGAGUAGGGAAUAAAAAAUAUUGAUCUAAUUUUUUUUCUUAGCUACGAAUUUUUACCAGCGCUAGAGUUGGAAUUAUUCGAGCUCGAAUAUUCACUGGCGCCAGAGUCAGGAAUAUUAUAAACAAAUUAUAAUAGCAUAAGCGAAUAAAUGUUUAGCAAUUGAAGACAGAACCAACAAUGCAGUUUGCCUUAGGCAGAACGUUUAAGGGGUGAUAAUAUCUUUCCUUUUACGUAACUAGUUUCGAAUCAUAGAAUCUUUGUUGACCAGUUAGGAUUUCUAGUGACCAUAAUACUAGGUGUCGACUCCUCAAAUAAGAUAUUUUUCUUAAAAGAACAAGAUACCAAAUAUCUGUUCUUUUUUCUUAAAUCAAGAUAAUUUUUAGAACCACUGCGAUGUUGGGUGUGACAAUCAACAUUGUGCUUAUUCUUUUCAGAACAAUAACAAAGCUUUAGUGAAGAGUGAAGAAGUGUUUCCUGCACAAUAAUAGUGAAUGAAAACUAGACCAAAGUGAGUUCAUGUUAGAUACUAUUGUAUGAGUGCUUAAGUAGUUAAGGAUGAGAUAUCUCUCAAGCUGUCAAAAAAAAAAACUUUUACUUGAGAAGAUCGAUAAUCUUAUUUUUUAAACCAUGUAUGAAAAAAAAGGUGAGUGAAGGCCUUAUGAUGUCGAGUGAAGGCCUUAUGAUGUCGAGUGAAGAGUCCAUUUUCAUGAAGUUAAAUUGAUAAUUAGAGUAUUAUACUAGAGAGAAACGUGAACACUAUUUAUAAGUGGCGUGCAUGUCAUCUAAUUGAGUGAUUAUGUGAAUAAAAGUGUUUACAUAGUCAAUGAUGAAUUAUUGGCUAGAACGAGCAUGGAAACAAGUGUCAAUUGACUUUUAUGGAUAUUUCCCUAUCAUAAAUUAAAAAGCUAGAUAAACUAUUGAAUGAGAUGACUGUUCUCUUACGAAAAUUCUAAAGGAAAAGCAUCGUCGAAUAUGAGUCAAUUUUCCACGCCUGUCAUUCUCGUUCUCGGCUGUUGGGUCUAUAAUGGCUGCAUGCCGUAUUGCUUGACGAGGACUAUUUAAGUAUUAUUCUCGACCUUUUAUUUAUUUAUUUUGGAUUUUUUCUGCUGGUGGGUCUAUAAUAUUUUUUUUUAUAACCGAAGUCUGUAAACAGAAACAUUUUAUUUAUUUUCCGCGUCAAGAAAGUCAAGUAACUCAGUCACCCACUUUUUUUAAACUCCCACUGCACUAGAUCUCGCUCCUUCUGCUGUGAAUCCAAUUCCAAAUAUUUAUGGAGAAAAAAAAUAUUAAUCUUUAUUUACAACGUUGGUUAAUUACAAUUAGUACAAUGAUAUCAAUUUCUUCUCUUAUACUAAAAUAAUGAUACCAAUUCUAGAUAUUAUAUAUGAAUUAUGUUAUGUUAUGUAUGAAAAAUACUAAAAAAGAGAUAGGUUAAUUUGGUCAUCCCAUAAAACUAUAUAUGGAAUGAGAUUAAAACUUAAGGAAUGGGAAUAGCACUGCACAAAAUAUUAAUGAUAUUUAUUAUUUAUAGUAUAUGGUCAAUGAAGUGUCAUGAUUCAUCGAGUGAUUUCCAAUGAAAUUUGGAGCACAUACCAGCUUAAUUCUAAGUUUGCUAGAAGAGUUAUUUGAUUUUCGAACAAAUUCAUAAGCACUUAGGCACAAUCUACUCUUUUUUUCUUAUUAAAAAAAUUGUAUAAAGAACAACUAAAUAUUUAUUAAAAUUAAGAAAUCAACACAUUAAAUAAAAUUGUAUUGUUCUCUACAACAAAUUGUGGAGACCCCAAAAGAAAAGUGAGAGCGAGAUGUGCUUCCGGGGCAUGUUAAAAUUAAGAAAUUAACACGUUAAAAAAACUUUCAAUAUGCCUUGUAUGUUUGAUAUGUAAAUUGACAUAUUUAAUAUCAAUUCAAUCUUGAGUAUGAACCUAUUCUCCAAUGUCACUUUCAUUUGCUCCAAAUGGGAAGAUACUGCUUGGAUUUUUAUUUUUUUGUCUCACGUAAAAUUACUUGAAGUUAAAAGAAAAGUCAUGAUGGGUAUUGCGAGGAGAUCAUACAACAAGAAUCGUAAGCUCUUGAGGGUAAACAUGUCCGCUAUCCAUGGCUGGUAAUAAGGACGGGGAAAUUAAAGAAUUUUCAUUGAUGGGGCAAAUAGCAUCACGUUUUGUGUUCAAAAACAGGGAAGCUUCUAUGGCUGCUGCUGCACUGCGUUCAUUUGGUGUUGUAUAGCAACAGCAUUUAUUUAUCUGUAUUCCAUUCCAGAGUAAUACCAAACAAAAAUAGCAGAGCUCAUGGCUAUGUGGCCUUUGAGUGAUAUCCUGCUAGUGCAGCUUUUGAUCAUGUUAUCUCCUGCAUGCUUCCUAGAAGCUCAAACUUCUUACUCCACAGCCCAAAAUUAUUACCCAUCAUGGACAAACAAUUUGUCCAUUCCAGCGAGAGGCUUUGAUUCCUACCAAAUGAUCUUGUUGAGUGAGUAUUGGUCUUUUGCUUGUGGAUUUUACUCCAAAGACCAGGAAAAUGAUUCCUUUUAUUUUGCAGUUGUAUCACUCAACCAAACAUAUGCAGGAGCUAUUGUUAAUUUCACUCUUCAGCAUGUCAUAUGGUUGGCAAAUGAAAAUAAGCCUGUUGGACGGAACGCAACUCUAAAGUUACUUCCAGAAGGAAAUUUGGUUCUGAGAGAUGCAGAUGGAGCUUUAGUCUGGUCUACCAACACGUCUAACAUGUCUGUUGCAGGUAUAAAGAUGAUGGAAACAGGGAUGCUUGUGCUUCAAGACCACAAUAAUAAGACUGUGUGGCAAUCUUUCAGUAAUACAGCACAUGUGUCCACUUCAUGGACGAAUAAUGAUCCCAUAUCAGCCAUGCCUUUUAAUCUAUUUAAAAUAAUCAUGAUGCACGGAGCUGGUUUUUAUUGUGGAUUUCUCUCCAAGGACCGGAAUUCCUUCUAUUUUGCUAUAUGGAAGAAGAAGUCGGAAUAUUCUGGAGAUGAUGAUCCGGAGGCCUUAUGGUUAGCAAACAGAAACAGGCCUGUUGGUGAGAACGCAACUUUACAAUUUUUACCAGAUGGAGAUUUGGUUCUGAGAGAUGCUGAUGGAGCUUUCGUUUGGUCUACUAACACAUCUAACAUGUCUGUUGCGGGUAUGAGGAUGAUGGAAACUGGAAACCUUGAGCUUCAAGACCACAAUAAUAAGAUUGUGUGGCAAUCUUUUAGUAAUACAGCACAUGUGUCCGCUUUAUGGACGAAUAAUGAUCCCAUAUCAGCCAUGCCUUAUAAUCUAUAUAAAAUAUUCAUGAUGCACGGAGCUCCUUUUUCUUGUGGAUUUCACUCCAAGGACCGGAAUUCCUUCUAUUUUGCAAUAUGGAAGCAAUCGGAAGUUUCUGGAGAUGAUGUUCCGGAGGCCUUGUGGUUAGCAAACAGAAACAGGCCUGUUGGUGAGAACGCAACUUUACAUUUUUUACCAGAUGGAGAUUUGGUCUUGAGAGAUGCUGAUGGAACUUUCGUUUGGUCUACUAACACAUCUAGCAUGUCUGUUGCGGGUAUGAGGAUGAUGGAAACUGGAAACCUUGAGCUUUAUGAUGUCAAUAACAAGACUGUUUGGAAUUCAUUUGAUCAUCCUUCUGAUGUACUGCUUCUUGGGAACAAAUUAGUGGCAGGACAGAAGCUGGUGGCAAGUGUUUCGAAAACUAAUAGAUCUGAAGGUGUCUUCAGCCUCUCUGUGAUCCCACAAGGUUUGUUUGCUUCUUACCAAGCUACUGCGCCACAAAAGUACUUCAAAUUUCAGUUUUGGGGGCAUAGACAGCCUCCAACUAAGUCAUGAUGAAUCCUCUGGUAAUCUUGCUUUACUUAUAAUGUCAGCUUCACCUGAUGAGCCGAAUACAACUUACAAGCACCAUUAAAUACUCAGCGACGGCUUACAUGAAAUUUGAUCCUGAUGGGCAUCUCAGAAUUUAUGAUGGCAACAUGAUGACGGGGUUGAUCUGUUGACAGAUAUGAUGUGCAUGUGAUUACCCAACAGCUUGUGGUAAUUAUGGGCUGUGCUUAAAUGGACAGUGCUCGUGCCCAGCAGGAUUUGCUCGAGCCAAUACCAAAUGAUCAAGGCAACUACAAUUGCUGGCAGAUGAGUCCAACCACAUGUGAAAAUCCAAAAUCCCAUUCUCUUCUUCCCCUGGAAGAUGUCUACUAUUUCAAUUAUGUUGACCCUGAGGCAGCGGUCCUGAAAGGAACAGACAUGAAGAGUUGUAAAGAUGCAUGUUUGAAAAACUGUUCAUGCAACGCUGCUCUAUUUCAGUAUUACUUUAAUGAUUCUCAUGGGAAUUGUUUUUUGCCCUCACCAGUUCUUACACUAACGGGUGAUGGUAAGGAAAGAAAAGUUACCAUUCUAAUGCCUUCAUCAAAACUUCUAAUGAUGGAGAGAAUGGAAGUGCUUUUACAUCUUCUAUCAAUCCUACAUCUUCUAUCAAUCCUAAAAUAAUAGCAGGAUCAACUAUUGGAGCCAUCCUUGUUAUGAGUUUAAUUGGUGGUCUAUGUAUUAUGGUUUGGAGGAAGAAAAGAGAUCGAGAGGAAGGAAUGGAAGACUUGAAUCAACUAUCAGGAAUGCCCAUGAGAUUCACAUACCAAGAACUAAGAGUGGCAACUUGGGAUUUUGAGAAGAAGCUUGGAGGAGGAGGGUUUGGAUCAGUUUUUGAAGGAAUUCUAGAAAAUGGAGAAAAAAUUGCAGUAAAGCGCCUAGAUGCUUUAGGCCAAGGGCAGAAGGAAUUCUUGGCUGAGGUCAAAAGUAUAGGAAGCAUCCAUCAUGUCAGCCUGGCGAGGCUAAUUGGAUUCUGUGCUGAUAAAUUGCACACGCUUUUAGUCUAUGAGUUCAUGUGCUGUGGGUCUUUGGAUAAGUGGAUUUUCUGCAGGGAACCACUACUACAUCCUCUGGACUUCCAAACUAGAAGAAACAUUAUCAUGGAUGUAGCAAAGGGGCUGGCCUAUCUCCAUGAAGAAUGCAGACAAAGAAUAGUCCACUUAGACAUCAAACCACAAAACAUUUUGUUGGAUGAAAAUCUGCAUGCUAAGAUCUCUGAUUUUGGCUUGUCUAAGUUGAUUGACAGGGAUCAAAGUCAAGUGGUGACCACAAUGAGAGGAACUCCUGGGUACUUGGCUCCUGAAUUAUUCAGCUCAGUCAUCACAGAGAAGGCAGAUGUUUAUAGUUUUGGAAUCGUAGUCAUGGAAGUUGUCUGCGGAAAGAAAAAUCUGGAUAGGUCACAGCCAGCUGAGUGCAUGCAUUUGCUCCCUAUUCUUAUGAAGAGGGCACAGGAGGAUCAAUUGAUUGAUAUGGUUGACAAUAGCAGUGAGGAUAUGCAAUUGCACAGGUUAGAAGCUGCGGAGAUGAUGAGGGUUGCUAUUUGGUGUCUGCAAAGUGAUCAGACCAGGAGGCCUAGCAUGUCAACCGUGGUUAAGGUCUUAGAGGGCACCAUGGGUGUUGAGGCAGACCUAGACUAUUGCCUUCAGAAUGCAACAACAAUGGCAGCAAUAAGAAGAGAGGCAGAGCUGGGCAGUACUGCCACAUUGCUGCCAUCACUACUAUCAGGACCAAGGUGAAGAAAGAUCUUUUGCGAAAUAUAUGUGGUGUUUAUGUUUCUCCGAUAGGUGUUUUACCUUCAGUUCUCUUUAUAUCGCUACUGUAACGUUA
This 7818-nucleotide long non-coding RNA is filed under the name Populus tremula. RNAcentral's name for it is "long non-coding RNA (PTRE_LNC002146)". Lineage: Eukaryota; Viridiplantae; Streptophyta; Magnoliopsida; Malpighiales; Salicaceae. The record is from RNAcentral.